This 145-nucleotide unclassified non-coding RNA is filed under the name soil metagenome. Its description in RNAcentral is "partial internal transcribed spacer 1". The record is from RNAcentral.
UAAUAAGUGUUUUAUGGCACUUUUUAAAUCCAUAUCCACCUUGUGUGCAAUGUCAGUCGAUCUUCUUCAUGGAGAUCGACCAAACAUCAACCUUUAUUUUUUAACUCUUUGUCCGAAAAAUAUUAUGAAUAAACAAUUCAAAAUA